RNAcentral lists this ribosomal RNA (258 nucleotides) under uncultured bacterium. RNAcentral's name for it is "partial 16S ribosomal RNA". It matches the Rfam family "Bacterial small subunit ribosomal RNA", at positions 522 to 776 of the family's 1533-position model. The record is from RNAcentral.
UACGGGAGGGAUGCGAGUGUUAUCCGGAUUUAUUUGGGUUUUAAAAGGGUGCGUAGGCGGAAUGGUAAGUCAGUGGUGAAAUCCUGCAGCUCAACUGUAGUUGUGCCAUUGAUACUGUCAUUCUUGAGUACAGAUGAGGUAGGCGGAAUGAGUAGUGUAGCGGUGAAAUGCAUAGAUAUUACUCAGAACACCAAUUGCGAAGGCAGCUUACUAAACUGACACUGACGCUGAAGCACGAAAGCGUGGGUAUCAAGCAGG